UAGUCAUCAAUCCAAUGUCCCACCUAAGAUCUCCAAUUUGAAAAUGACAAAGUAAUCUCUGAGCUUAAAAGUGAUAGGAUUCUUAAAGACCCAUACCAAAAUCAGAUGAGUGAGGCUAGUACUGAUGUUAGUCAAAAAGAGAACUUGAAAGAAGAGGUGAAUAUUGAGACUAACCCAAUAGAAGAAUCUACGCUCGAAACUGGUACUGAUCUGCGUAAGAAAGAUAAAGAAAAGAAGAGAGCGGAUGAUUUAUCUGAGAUAUAUAAGCCAAGAAUCCUAUUUUCUUCAGCCCUAA
This 295-nucleotide long non-coding RNA is filed under the name Elaeis guineensis (African oil palm). Its description in RNAcentral is "long non-coding RNA (EGUI_LNC056190)". Lineage: Eukaryota; Viridiplantae; Streptophyta; Magnoliopsida; Arecales; Arecaceae. The record is from RNAcentral.